Long non-coding RNA from Oryzias melastigma (Indian medaka), 611 nucleotides. RefSeq lists it as uncharacterized. The record is from RefSeq and is a predicted model, not a curated record. The transcript is spliced from 2 exons. NCBI's taxonomy places the organism in Eukaryota, Metazoa, Chordata, Actinopteri, Beloniformes, Adrianichthyidae.
AGACACGAGGUUAGAAGAGGCUCUACAAUGCAGAGCUAGUUGUGCUAAAGUAUAAAAAUCUAUUUUUAUAACAGGAGAAUGAAUUAAGGGCAUCAAAAUCUCAAGAAAGGGUUACACUGUCUUGGUCAUCAAGCGAGCACAAGAAGACCCAUUGAAAAGGUGGAGGGGGCGUGGUCAGGGGUCAGGGGCUCGAGCUGAGGCAGAGUAACAGCUCAAAGGAAGAAGCAGGCAUGGAGGUACUCGUACAUCUCUCCAGGUUGUUGGUCCAAGUUUGGUUCAUCUGGGUCACGGUCUGGUUUCCUUCCUCCCAGCAGACUGAGCCGGCUGGGCAGACCCCCACCGUCUCAUUCCAGAAAGUCUGGAAGAAAGACACACGUGUGUGAGCACAUGCAGAGAUCACACGCCCUCCUAAACCUGAACUCCUUGGUUACAUUAUGUAAAUGUCAGAGCCAUGAUGUCCUUCAUGUUCCUGUUCUUACCGUGUUCAUUUCAGUCUUGCACCAUCUUUUGAUCAGACUCUUGUUCCUGGCCUCUGGCACUCCGGUUGCAAUGUCAGCGAUGACAGUUUUGUCCAGCUAAGACAAAUAAAGUUUACUUUUUUCUUAAUUCAA